Molecule: ribosomal RNA, 301 nt
Filed under: uncultured bacterium
Lineage: Bacteria
Description: partial 16S ribosomal RNA
Rfam family: Bacterial small subunit ribosomal RNA
Source: RNAcentral
CAGCCGCCGCGGUAAUACGUAGGUCCCGAGCGCUGUCCGGAUUUAUUGGGCGUAAAGCGAGCGCAGGCGGUUAGAUAAGUCUGAAGUUAAAGGCUGUGGCUUAACCAUAGCACGCUUUGGAAACUGUUUAACUUGAGUGCAAGAGGGGAGAGUGGAAUUCCAUGUGUAGCGGUGAAAUGCGUAGAUAUAUGGAGGAACACCGGUGGCGAAAGCGGCUCUCUGGCUUGUAACUGACGCUGAGGCUCGAAAGCGUGGGGAGCAAACAGGAUUAGAUACCCGCGUAGUCCCUGUCUCUUAUACA